This 522-nucleotide ribosomal RNA is filed under the name uncultured bacterium. Its description in RNAcentral is "bacterial SSU rRNA". It matches the Rfam family "Bacterial small subunit ribosomal RNA", at positions 986 to 1509 of the family's 1533-position model. The record is from RNAcentral.
AUCCAGCGAAUUCGGUAGAGAUACCUUAGUGCCUUCGGGAACGCUGAGACAGGUGCUGCAUGGCUGUCGUCAGCUCGUGUUGUGAAAUGUUGGGUUAAGUCCCGCAACGAGCGCAACCCUUAUCCUUUGUGCCAGCGGUCCGGCCGGGAACUCAAAGGAGACUGCCAGUGAUAAACUGGAGGAAGGUGGGGAUGACGUCAAGUCAUCAUGGCCCUUACGAGUAGGGCUACACACGUGCUACAAUGGCGCAUACAAAGAGAAGCGACCUCGCGAGAGCAAGCGGACCUCAUAAAGUGCGUCGUAGUCCGGAUUGGAGUCUGCAACUCGACUCCAUGAAGUCGGAAUCGCUAGUAAUCGUAGAUCAGAAUGCUACGGUGAAUACGUUCCCGGGCCUUGUACACACCGCCCGUCACACCAUGGGAGUGGGUUGCAAAAGAAGUAGGUAGCUUAACCUUCGGGAGGGCGCUUACCACUUUGUGAUUCAUGACUGGGGUGAAGUCGUAACAAGGUAGGCGUAGAUGA